RNAcentral lists this unclassified non-coding RNA (385 nucleotides) under Hevea brasiliensis (rubber tree). Lineage: Eukaryota; Viridiplantae; Streptophyta; Magnoliopsida; Malpighiales; Euphorbiaceae. The record is from RNAcentral.
AUCCCUUGGGAAUAGUGUACCCAGCAUAUGUAAAAUCAGUCAAGGCCUCUCUGAAAGUUCCUUGGAGUGGAGGUGUGAGCCUCAUCACCUCAUGCAAUACGUUCCAGGAGUAUUUCAUCUUCUGAAUGUCCCCCCACUCCAGCAGCUUACCUGCCUCUUUAGCUGCUGAAACCUCCUUUUGCUCAGCUAGGACCUUAGCAUAAAUGUCAGGCCUCUCUCCUACAUAUUUCAUGAAGAAAGUCAUUGCAGUAGCCACUGUACUGUAUCCUGCAACUAGCAAACCCAUAAUCUUGUCAGCAAUCUCUGCCUCUGGCAUGUGUUUACCGGAAGGGUCAGUGGCCACAAUCAUGUGGGAAAGUAUGUCCUGCAUCGGAGCUCCUGUGGC